RNAcentral lists this ribosomal RNA (253 nucleotides) under uncultured bacterium. Its description in RNAcentral is "partial 16S ribosomal RNA". It matches the Rfam family "Bacterial small subunit ribosomal RNA", at positions 524 to 776 of the family's 1533-position model. The record is from RNAcentral.
UACGGAGGGUGCAAGCGUUGCUCGGAAUUAUUGGGCGUAAAGGGUAGGUAGGUGGUCUCAUUUGUCUGGGGUGAAAUCCUUGAGCUUAACUCAAGAAGUGCCUCAGAAACGGUGAGACUAGAGUUCUGGAGAGGGUCGUGGAAUUCCCGGUGUAGCGGUGAAAUGCGUAGAGAUCGGGAGGAACACCAGAGGCGAAGGCGGCGACCUGGACAGAUACUGACGCUGAGGCGCGAAAGCGUGGGGAGCAAACAGG